GUCUAUGGCCAUGCCAUCCUGAACAAGCCCAAUCCCCUCUGAUCUUGGAAGCUAAGGAGGGUCAGGCCUGGUUAGUACUUGGAUGGGAGACCACCUAGGAAGACCAGGUGCUGUAGGUG
Molecule: ribosomal RNA, 119 nt
Filed under: Pteropus alecto (black flying fox)
Lineage: Eukaryota; Metazoa; Chordata; Mammalia; Chiroptera; Pteropodidae
Source: RNAcentral